UUUCUCUGGUCACCAACUCUCUUCUUAGGCCUCCUAAUCCUUCUUAGGACUCUUAUCUAGGAGCCCAGUAAAAGCUACGUGCACUCGUUAUAUUUGGUUUAUACUUGCUCAGUCAAAUGAACCCACUAAGUGCAGGUACUAAGCGUAAUAGGCUGGUCACUCCUUAAGCAUCCAUAGAAGUCUCGCAAGCUUAGGAUGCAUGAAGUCUGUUGAGAUGACGUUUCCUUUUUAUUCUGAUUCCGCCUGUGGAUUCUAU
Molecule: long non-coding RNA, 256 nt
Filed under: Helianthus annuus (common sunflower)
Lineage: Eukaryota; Viridiplantae; Streptophyta; Magnoliopsida; Asterales; Asteraceae
Description: hypothetical non coding rna
Source: RNAcentral